This 468-nucleotide ribosomal RNA is filed under the name uncultured bacterium. RNAcentral describes it as "partial 16S ribosomal RNA". It matches the Rfam family "Bacterial small subunit ribosomal RNA", at positions 28 to 507 of the family's 1533-position model. The record is from RNAcentral.
GACGAACGCUGGCGGCGUGCUUAACACAUGCAAGUCGAACGGACAGACCCGGCUUUUGUGGCGUGCUCGAGUGGCGCACGGGUGAGUAACACGUGAGUAACCUGCCCUUGACUUUGGGAUAACUUCUGGAAACUGGGGCUAUUACCGGAUAGGAGCUCCUGCUGCAUGUUGGUGAUUGGAGAGUUUCGGCUGUUGGGGCUGGUCUCGCGGGUUAUCAGCUUGUUGGUCGGGUAGUGGCUGACGAAGGCUUUGACGGGUAGCCGGCCUGAGAGGGUGACCGGGCACAUGAGGACUGAGAGACGGACCAGAAGGCAACGUGAGGCAGCAGUGGGGAGCAUGACACAACAGGCGGAAGUGUGAGAUGGCAGUGUCGGGAGCGUGAUGCUGGGUUUUGGGUGAUAAACAGAUGUCGAAGGAGAUGAAGAGGGCGUGACGGUACUGGGUAAAGAAGCACCGGCUAACUACGUG